This 96-nucleotide small nuclear RNA is filed under the name Castor canadensis (American beaver). The record is from RNAcentral. Lineage: Eukaryota; Metazoa; Chordata; Mammalia; Rodentia; Castoridae.
GUUAGUGCUCACUAACAUUUGGAAAAUUGGAACAAUACAGUGAAAAUUAGCAUGCCCAAGGAUGACAUGCAAAUUUGUGAAACAUUCCUUCCUUAA